CCACUGAGAAGAUAGUGGCGAACGGGUGGAGUAACACCGUGGGUAACCCGACCCCACUAAGAGGGGGAGUAACAAUCCGGAAACGGGUAGCUAAUACCGCAUAGUUUUCUUGAUCGCAUGAUUGAGAAAGGAAAGACGGCCUUUGUGCUGUCGCUUAUGGAUGGACCCGCGGCGUAUUAGUUAGUUGGUGAGGUAAUGGCUCACCAAGACGAUGAUACGUAGCCGACCUGAGAGGGUGAUCGGCCACAUUGGGACUGAGACACGGCCCAAACUCCUACGGGAGGCAGCAGUAGGGAAUCUUCCGCAAUGGACGAAAGUCUGACGGAGCAACGCCGCGUGAGUGAAGAAAAGGGUUUUCGGAUCGUAAAACUCUGUUGUCAGAGAAGAACAAGUUGGAGAGUAACUGCUCCAGCCUUGACGGUAUCUGACCAGAAAGCCACGGCUAACUACGUGCCAGCCGCAGC
This 464-nucleotide ribosomal RNA is filed under the name uncultured bacterium. RNAcentral describes it as "bacterial SSU rRNA". It matches the Rfam family "Bacterial small subunit ribosomal RNA", at positions 81 to 518 of the family's 1533-position model. The record is from RNAcentral.